RNAcentral lists this ribosomal RNA (253 nucleotides) under uncultured bacterium. RNAcentral's name for it is "partial 16S ribosomal RNA". It matches the Rfam family "Bacterial small subunit ribosomal RNA", at positions 524 to 776 of the family's 1533-position model. The record is from RNAcentral.
UACGUAGUGUCCGAGCGUUGCCCGGAAUUACUGGGCGUCAAGAGCUCGUAGGUGGUUUGUCGCGUUGUUCGUGAAAACUCACAGCUCAACUGUGGGCGUGCGGGCGAUACGGGCAGACUAGAGUACUGCAGGGGAGACUGGAAUUCCUGGUGUAGCGGUGAAAUGCGCAGAUAUCAGGAGGAACACCGGUGGCGAAGGCGGGUCUCUGGGCCGAUAUUGACGCUGAGGAGCGAAAGCGUGGGGAGCGAACAGG